Asterias rubens (European starfish) is the source of this 3195-nucleotide long non-coding RNA. RefSeq lists it as uncharacterized. The transcript has 3 exons. NCBI's taxonomy places the organism in Eukaryota, Metazoa, Echinodermata, Asteroidea, Forcipulatida, Asteriidae. The record is from RefSeq and is a predicted model, not a curated record.
UUUUACCCACACACACCGAUGUGUGUUAGCACUGUAUGUAGGCCUACUCGGUACUCGAUACUCAUAUUUAUUAGUCCAUCCUUCCACAUCUUAAAACGAAUUGGUGCCUUGCCAACUUCUCAUGAAAGCUGUGGGACAUCUUGAAGUUUGUCCCGUUGUUAUACAGAGAAUCUUACAUCAUCCAUUGAUUCCAAUAACAAGUCAAGGAAAUAGUUGACAUUCCUAGUUCAAUGAAGCAUAACCCUGUAUAGAAGAGGCGCUAGAAGAAUAUAUACCGCUAUACGCCAGAGGAUACACGUCGAUACCUUACAUUAGUAAAUCAGUACUAUCGAGAAACGAUGUAUAAAAAAGAGGAGCCGAUUGGGGUUUACACUGACUUGCCAUUCGACACAUUUUCAGCAUUAUUUCGACUGAAAGCUCCAGUCGAUCACAAACGCAACAACAAACGAGGCUGAUGUAAGAUUCAAAGAGCUUCGAGCGGGAGAGGCACAACAGCUUACAACAGCGAGAAAAUAGCACCGUUUUCAUUUCUGCGGACAGUUGGAAAUUCGGUUGGGAAAACUGAUACAAGCAAAUCUGGUCGGAUAACCAUCAUCCAACGUCUCGAGAGAGGAGAGAAAACAAGCAUUUCCUCAGAGGACAGACAAAGAGUUUUAGCAUCAGAGGAGGCAUCCAAGAAGGAAUUGGAGCUAAGAAAGACCGUAGAUGCCAAGAUGGCUACAAGACACUUUCUGCAAACUGUGAUCUUUUUCGAGAAUGGCUAAUAUUGACGUCCGGAAAACACUCUUCGUCCCAACCAUUCGGAGUAGGCUUGCUUAAACGUUUUUUUGAGCACCACGGAGUCGAUGCAGGGUCUCCGGAUCAUCGGAUGCGGUAUUACUUAAGCCACACACAGAAUGGCUAAUAUUGACGUCUGGAAAACACUCUUCGUGCCAACCAUUCGGAGUAGGCUUGCUUAAACGUCUUUUUGAGCACCACCGACUUGAUGCAGGGUCUCUGCAGGUUGAUCAUCGGAUGCGGUAUUACUCAAAACUUGCCCAAUUUUGCCGAAAAAGGCUCCCUCCCUUGUCGGCUUGCAUCGCUUAGAUCCAUACACAGACACAAAACAAAAACCAAUAACUUCUUUGGUCGUGUAAAAUAGCGCUUUCUUGUAUCUGUCUUUAGCUUUUUUAGAGAGCCACUUUGUACUUCGUGGCCCCCGGGGCUGGAUGAUACUAUUAAGAUGUUUACAUCCGUGGUGUUGUUUUUGUUAUAGAAUAUUUGACCAGUGUCGAAUUUUGGCAACGUGGUUCUUUGGGUACGUAGUUGGUGUCAUGGUGCGAAAAAAAGUUUUUGCAGGACGUGAAGUAAACAUUUUAGAAUAAGUAUUAUUUAUGCAAAUAUUUAGUCACGAGAAUUUGCAAUCUUUGGGGCACUUCUGCACAGAGUGAAUAAUUAUUUUUAAAACGUUUGUUUCACGUCCAAUUUUCUACAUGGUAACCAUGACUUCAACUACGUACCCAAAUUACCACCUUACCAAGUUUCCAUAUACGGUUAAAUAUUUCUCAACCAAAAAUACUGUAGACGUAAAGAUUAUGGUGAGUUACAUACAGCCCUGGGCUACGAGGGAAAGGGGCCAUGGUAGACCAAUUUUGCUAAUCAGUUGCACGGAAGAUGUAAUUUUGCUCAGACAUAAUAUAAUUGCAGGCGUUUGUGCCGACUGAAUUAUCCAUUCUUACAAAUGUCAUAUAAUAAGCUUGGGAUAUAAUAUAUGUAUGCCGAUGCAAUGCAGUUGACUUUUCUCUUGAAUAGAGAACUAAAAUAUUUACCUGUCUAUAUCGGAUCUAUGAAAUGCAGAUGACUAGUAUCUGUUCAAAAAUGAGUUUGCCUUCUCUAAUUUGCAAAUCUGAAAUAUAGAAAUGUACAAUAAAAAUAUUAGUUGUGAACGUUGCUUUGCAAAAGGUGUGUGUGUUAUUGAGAUACCGUCGAAAAUAUGGAGCGAUUAUGUCCAUGCACCCUAACGGUAAAGACAUUCACCUCUUUUCUGUUUGUAAUAAGUAUUAGAUUUGUCGAUUUUGAUAUUAAGAUAGCACUCACUGUUUGUAUUGAACAAGAUUUUUACUCAUUUCAAGGGUUUCUUGUUUAGUCGUUAGAAUAGCGUUUUUUAUCUGUCGUUAGCUUUUUUAGAGAGCCACUUUGUACUUCGUGGCCCCCGGGGCUGGAUGUAUGUUUACAUCCGCAGUAUGGUUUUGUUGUUAAAUAUUUGACCAGAAACGACAUUUGGCAAGGGGGUAUUUUGGGUACGUAGUUCUAGUCAUGGUGCGAAAAAAAAGAACUUUUCAAAAAUCUGACGUGAAGUAAACGUUAUUGAUUAAAAUUCGUUUUUAUGCAAAUCUUUAGUCUCGAGAAUUUGUUAAUUUGGGGGCGUUCUGCCUAAAGUGAGCGCACUUUGGUGCUUUGGGAGUCUUAUUAGUGAGUAAUUAUUUGUGUUACUUUCAUUUCACGUCCGAUUGUCUACUUUCCGGGGGGUAUAUGCUAAAAAAGACAAAUAGUGCCUUUAACAGCUUUAUGAAACUAGCCCAUGGAUGUAUGACUUCGUACGUCAUUUCAUAGCUGACCAAUCAUAACGCAGAAGAAAGUAAAAGCCCGUGAAGAUUCCAUUGAUCGCUACUGCUAUAAGAUCGCGGUGAUUAAGAAAAGCGCUUUUGUAAUCCAAUUUCUUUGUUAUUUUGGUGUGGGGCUUGCAUGCUCCUUGGCUAAAUUGAAUGUGAAUAGCCCAGUUGUGAAAGUAUUACAAUAGUUCUUCUCAAGUAAACACGUGAUUGAGUGGAAAUUUCUGCUCCGAAACCUACACACAGCACGGUUGAGUGAUUCGACGAUAUGCCGCGGUUGGGAGUGCUUGUUUGUGGACCUAUGUGCUGUGCUGUUUUGCUUCGCUGUGCUAUGUUUUGUGAGUACUGGUUUUUCUUCGAUACUUUCCAGGUUUCUUAAGGACUCCUAGCGGUAGGCAUGACAACACUUCACAUAACUACAGUGCGGACAUAGUUUACAUUGGCUUCCAGUAAAUCCAACUUAUAAAUCUUUGUGAGCUACUAUAUUGAGUAUGAAAUAAACCACAGGCGCCGCACUCUAAUACUACUUAUACUAAUUGUAUAAAUUAAACAAAUUUGUAUAGGAUAUAGUGCAAUAUAUAUCAUUUAUAUAAUUAUACUAUAU